Molecule: long non-coding RNA, 228 nt
Filed under: Oryza brachyantha (malo sina)
Lineage: Eukaryota; Viridiplantae; Streptophyta; Magnoliopsida; Poales; Poaceae
Description: long non-coding RNA (OBRA_LNC002392)
Source: RNAcentral
CCGCCCGCCGGGGGGGGGCUCUGCUGCGCCUGCGCCUGCGCCGCCAUCCUCGUCUCCGAUCUCCUCCCUUCCUUCCUUCCUUCCUCCUCGACGGAUUCGGGAUGGGAUUUUUUUUUCUGGGGUUUUUUUGCGGAUUUUUUUGGGGGUAAAAUUUUUCGGUUUAGGGUUUGAUAAGGGUUGGGAGGAGAGGUGGGUUGCCUCCCAACUGCGGCGCGAGACGGAGGAGCC